GCGGGGCGGUGGCAGCGGGGGCGCGGCCAGGCCGGUAGCGGGGCGGGGCCCGGGGAGCAGCCGCCAUGUUGGCGGCGCCGCUGCGCUGCGCCCGCAGGCGCACGUUUCUAACGGGGAUCGCAGCCAUGGCCACGGUGGGGACACCCGGCCCCCCCAGCCGCCCUCGUCACACCAACCGCCUGAUUAACGAAAAGUCCCCGUACCUCCUGCAGCACGCCCACAACCCCGUGGAUUGGUACCCUUGGGGUCAGGAAGCCUUUGAUAAAGCAAAGACAGAAAACAAGCUGAUAUUCCUGUCAGUUGGCUACUCCACCUGCCACUGGUGCCAUGUCAUGGAGGAGGAGUCCUUCAAGAGCCAGGAGAUUGGGGAGAUCAUGAAUGAUAACUUUGUGUGCAUCAAAGUGGAUCGUGAAGAGCGGCCAGAUGUGGACAAAGUGUACAUGACCUUUGUGCAGGCCACCAGUGGUGGAGGUGGUUGGCCCAUGAGUGUCUGGCUGACCCCAGACCUCAAGCCCUUUGCUGGGGGGACGUAUUUCCCUCCUGAGGAUGGAGUUCAUCGUGUUGGUUUUCGGACUGUGCUGCUCCGGAUUGCAGAGCAGUGGAAGGAGAACAAAGAUGCCCUGUUGGAGAGCAGCCACAGGAUUCUGGAAGCAUUGCGACACACAUCAGAGAUCCGUGUUCAGGGCCAGGAGUCACCCCCACCAGCCAAAGAGGUGAUGGACAUCUGUUUCCAGCAGCUCUCCAGAUCCUAUGAUGAGGACUAUGGUGGAUUUUCCAGAUCCCCCAAGUUCCCCACCCCAGUGAAUUUGAAUUUCCUGUUCACAUACUGGGCCCUGCACCGAACAACUCCAGAAGGUGCCCGGGCACUGCAGAUGGCUCUGCACACCCUCAAGAUGAUGGCCCAUGGGGGCAUUCAUGACCACAUUGGUCAGGGGUUUCACCGCUACUCCACGGACCAGCACUGGCAUGUACCUCACUUUGAGAAGAUGCUCUAUGACCAGGGGCAGCUGGCAGCCAUGUACAGCAAAGCCUUCCAGAUCUCUGGUGAUGAAUUCUUUGCUGAUGUUGUCCGAGACAUUCUACUCUACGUCUCGCGUGACCUGAGUGACCAGGCAGGAGGUUUCUAUAGUGCAGAAGAUGCAGAUUCCUACCCAAGCAGCACAUCUAGAGAGAAGCGAGAAGGAGCUUUCUGUGUGUGGGCAGCCGAGGAGCUCCGGGCUCUCCUCCCUGACCCUGUCGAGGGGGCCACAGAGGGGACAACCUUGGGAGAUGUCUUCAUGCACCACUAUGGAGUGGAAGAGGCUGGCAACGUAGACCCCAUGAAGGACCCCCAUCAGGAGCUGAAGGGAAAGAACGUCCUCAUUGCCCGCGGCUCCCCGGAGCUGACAGCAGCCCGAUUUGGGCUGGAGCCAGGCCAGCUGAGUGCCCUGCUGCAGGAAUGCCAACAGAGACUGUCCUCAGCCCGGGCACAGCGGCCACGGCCACACCUGGACACCAAGAUGCUGGCAGCAUGGAAUGGGCUGAUGAUCUCAGGCUUUGCCCAGGCUGGGGCUACCCUGUCUGAGCAGGGAUAUGUGAGCAGGGCUGCACAGGCAGCUGCCUUCCUGAGGACACACCUUUUCGACCCUGACAGUGGGAGGCUGCUGCGGAGCUGCUACCGGGGCGAGCACAACUCAGUGGAGCAGAGCACUGUGCCCAUCCAGGGCUUCCUGGAGGACUAUGUCUUUGUCAUCCAGGCACUCUUUGACCUGUAUGAGGCUUCACUGGAGCAGAGCUGGCUGGAGUGGGCCCUUGAUCUCCAGCACAUGCAAGACAAGCUCUUCUGGGACCCUAAAGGCUUUGCUUAUUUCUCCACUGAGGCCGGCGAUCCCUCCCUGCUGCUGCGUCUCAAGGACGACCAAGAUGGAGCAGAGCCCACCCCUAACUCUGUCGCUGUCACAAACCUGCUCCGAGCAGCUUGUUACUCUGGUCACACGGACUGGGCAGAAAAAGCUGGCAAGAUCUUGUCUGCCUUCUCAGAGAGGCUGCAGAAGAUCCCAAUAACCCUCCCAGAGAUGGUCCGGGCCACCGCUGUCUUCCAUCACACCCUCAAACAGCUCUGUUUUCUCCCUCCUGCCACCCACCCUCCCCCUGGACAGGUCGUCAUCUGUGGGGACCCCCAAGGAGAAGACACCAAAGAGAUGCUGCAUUGCAUCCGCUCUGUCUUCAGCCCAAACAAGGUGCUGAUGGUCGCAGAUGGAGACAGCGCCGGGUUCCUCUACCGCCAGCUGCCUUUCCUUGCAUCCCUGGAGAGGAAGGAUGGGAAAGCCACUGCCUACAUCUGCAGCAACUUCACCUGCUCCCUGCCUGUCACCUCUGUCCAUGAGCUGCGUGGGAUGCUCAGCCCAUGAGCCUCUCAUCCUGCUGCCUGUGGGAAGGGAAGAGUGGGACAGACUGGCAUGGUAGCAUGGGAGAGCGCCAUAACAGAGGCAACUUGAUCACUACCCCAGAUGGUUCCUAGCAUUGCAGUGGGGCUGUGCCCUUCCCCACCUGCAGUGGCUUGGGGACUGCUUGCACUGUUGCUUCAGCAGUGUCUCAGCACAACUGACUGUGGUCCUGGGUCCUGUUUUUGCUUGGCAUCUCUGCUGUGGGGAUUGAUUUGACACCCGUCCUCAGAAGUGCUCAGAGUGAGUUGGUUUGUGUUUGCCGGGAGAGCAUCCUCGGAGAGCAGGGCUGGUGCUGAGUGCCUGUGGGGAAGCCCACACAGAUGCCACAGUGGCAGCUGUCCCCCUGGUGGCACGGUGCUGGGGUGACAUUUUGGUGCCCACCAGCCCCUUGUAGCACAGACACAGGGUGCUUUCCUCCCAUCCUGCGUUGCUCGUUGGUGUCUCUGUGAGCAGCCCCCAGGCAGAGCUAUGCUGUGAACCUCUGUCAGGAUGAAUUGGCUUCACCUCUCAAUAAAACAAAACAAAAAAGAA
Pyrgilauda ruficollis (rufous-necked snowfinch) is the source of this 2957-nucleotide RNA transcript. It is a transcript of the gene named spermatogenesis associated 20, with no coding region annotated. The transcript has 17 exons. The record is from RefSeq and is a predicted model, not a curated record. Lineage: Eukaryota; Metazoa; Chordata; Aves; Passeriformes; Passeridae.